GAUGAACGCUGGCGGCGUGCCUAAUACAUGCAAGUCGAGCGAACAGACGAGGAGCUUGCUCCUCUGACGUUAGCGGCGGACGGGUGAGUAACACGUGGAUAACCUACCUAUAAGACUGGGAUAACUUCGGGAAACCGGAGCUAAUACCGGAUAAUAUAUUGAACCGCAUGGUUCAAUAGUGAAAGACGGUUUUGCUGUCACUUAUAGAUGGAUCCGCGCCGCAUUAGCUAGUUGGUAAGGUAACGGCCUACCAAGGCAACGAUGCGUAGCCGACCUGAGAGGGUGAUCGGCCCCACUGGGACUGAGACCCGGCCCAGACUCCUACGGGAGGCAGCCGGAGGGAAUCUUCCACAAUGGGCGAAAGUCUGACGGAGCAACGCCGGGUGGAGGAAGAAGGGCCUCGGGUCCUAAAGUCCUUUUGUUAGGGAAGAAAAAAUGGGGAAGGAAAUGGCGGCCUCUUGACGGUACCUUACGAGAAAGCCACGGCUAACUUCGUG
RNAcentral lists this ribosomal RNA (497 nucleotides) under uncultured bacterium. RNAcentral describes it as "partial 16S ribosomal RNA". It matches the Rfam family "Bacterial small subunit ribosomal RNA", at positions 28 to 507 of the family's 1533-position model. The record is from RNAcentral.